This 441-nucleotide ribosomal RNA is filed under the name uncultured bacterium. Its description in RNAcentral is "partial 16S ribosomal RNA". It matches the Rfam family "Bacterial small subunit ribosomal RNA", at positions 338 to 795 of the family's 1533-position model. The record is from RNAcentral.
CCUACGGGUGGCAGCAGUGGGGAAUAUUGCACAAUGGGGGGAACCCUGAUGCAUCUCCGCCGCUUUUUUUCCUUCUUCUUUCUUUCUUUCCCGCCCUCUCAGCAGGGAAGAACAAUGACGGUACCUGACUAAGAAGCACCGGCUAAAUACGUGCCAGCAGCCGCGGUAAUACGUAUGGUGCAAGCGUUAUCCGGAUUUACUGGGUGUAAAGGGAGCGCAGGCGGCGCGUUAAGCCUGGUGUGAAAGCCCGCGGCCCAACCGCGGGACUGCAUUGGGAACUGGCGCGCUGGAGUGCCGGAGGGGUAGGCGGAAUUCCUAGUGUAGCGGUGAAAUGCGUAGAUAUUAGGAGGAACACCAGUGGCGAAGGCGGCCUACUGGACGGUGACUGACGCUGAGGCUCGAAAGCGUGGGGAGCAAACAGGAUUAGAUACCCUGGUAGUC